GCAUUAAUGGGGUAGUGGUAACCUGGGUCGUUGCCAUUUCGAGCAUGCUCGACCCGCCGGGGGUUCGAUUCCCUCUUAAUGCA
RNAcentral lists this transfer RNA (83 nucleotides) under Agaricus bisporus var. bisporus H97. Its description in RNAcentral is "tRNA-Gly". It matches the Rfam family "tRNA". Rfam says of the family: Transfer RNA (tRNA) molecules are approximately 80 nucleotides in length. Their secondary structure includes four short double-helical elements and three loops (D, anti-codon, and T loops). The record is from RNAcentral. Lineage: Eukaryota; Fungi; Basidiomycota; Agaricomycetes; Agaricales; Agaricaceae.